This 765-nucleotide ribosomal RNA is filed under the name uncultured Streptococcus sp. RNAcentral's name for it is "bacterial SSU rRNA". It matches the Rfam family "Bacterial small subunit ribosomal RNA", at positions 28 to 776 of the family's 1533-position model. The record is from RNAcentral. Lineage: Bacteria; Bacillati; Bacillota; Bacilli; Lactobacillales; Streptococcaceae.
GACGAACGCUGGCGGCGUGCCUAAUACAUGCAAGUAGAACGCUGAAGAGAGGAGCUUGCUCUUCUUGGAAGAGUUGCGAACGGGUGAGUAACGCGUAGGUAACCUGCCUUGUAGCGGGGGAUAACUAUUGGAAACGAUAGCUAAUACCGCAUAACAAUGGGUGACCCAUGUCAUUCAUUUGAAAGGGGCAACUGCUCCACUACAAGAUGGACCUGCGUUGUAUUAGCUAGUAGGUGAGGUAACGGCUCACCUAGGCGACGAUACAUAGCCGACCUGAGAGGGUGAUCGGCCACACUGGGACUGAGACACGGCCCAGACUCCUACGGGAGGCAGUAGUAGGGAAUCUUCGGCAAUGGGGGCAACCCUGACCGAGCAACGCCGCGUGAGUGAAGAAGGUUUUCGGAUCGUAAAGCUCUGUUGUAAGUCAAGAACGAGUGUGAGAGUGGAAAGUUCACACUGUGACGGUAGCUUACCAGAAAGGGACGGCUAACUACGUGCCAGCAGCCGCGGUAAUACGUAGGUCCCGAGCGUUGUCCGGAUUUAUUGGGCGUAAAGCGAGCGCAGGCGGUUUGAUAAGUCUGAAGUUAAAGGCUGUGGCUCAACCAUAGUUCGCUUUGGAAACUGUCAAACUUGAGUGCAGAAGGGGAGAGUGGAAUUCCAUGUGUAGCGGUGAAAUGCGUAGAUAUAUGGAGGAACACCGGUGGCGAAAGCGGCUCUCUGGUCUGUAACUGACGCUGAGGCUCGAAAGCGUGGGGAGCGAACAGG